Molecule: unclassified non-coding RNA, 374 nt
Filed under: Hevea brasiliensis (rubber tree)
Lineage: Eukaryota; Viridiplantae; Streptophyta; Magnoliopsida; Malpighiales; Euphorbiaceae
Source: RNAcentral
CUCUCUUGACAUUAUUGUUCUACAAUAAAUUAGGACAAAAAAACAUAAUCAAAAUUGCAUGUUCCAAUAUGAAGGGAAAAAAUACACAUUUUCUAUUUCUCUGAUUUUUACUUUUGGCAAAAUUGGGAAGAUGAAAGCUAGUCUUCACUCUACUUCCAAGCUUUUCUCCCUCGAAAUUGUUUGCCAGCACGCGCCUGCUUUCUCUUUUUCUCAAUCUUAGAUUUUGCAACCUUGGAUCUCUUUGCUGCUAAUGGCAUACGUUUUUGGUGUUCUUUCUGCUGAUUGCUUGAACCACCCGUCUUCUUCUUUUUCAGAGCAGUUUUAGCUUGGUAUCUCCCUCUAUCCUCUCUACCAGCCCGAAUAAUCGCCAGUCU